This 493-nucleotide ribosomal RNA is filed under the name uncultured bacterium. RNAcentral describes it as "partial 16S ribosomal RNA". It matches the Rfam family "Bacterial small subunit ribosomal RNA", at positions 30 to 523 of the family's 1533-position model. The record is from RNAcentral.
AUUGAACGCUGGCGGCAUGCUUUACACAUGCAAGUCGAACGGUAACAGGUUAAGCUGACGAGUGGCGAACGGGCGAGUAAUGCAUCGGAACGUGCUCGGUCGUGGGGGAUAACGCAGCGAAAGCUGCGCUAAUACCGCAUACGAUCUGAGGAUGAAAGCGGGGGACCGUAAGGCCUCGCGCGAUCGGAGCGGCCGAUGUCAGAUUAGGUAGUUGGUGGGGUAAAGGCCCACCAAGCCGACGAUCUGUAGCUGGUCUGAGAGGACGACCAGCCACACUGGGACUGAGACACGGCCCAGACUCCUACGGGAGGCAGCAGUGGGGAAUUUUGGACAAUGGGCGAAAGCCUGAUCCAGCAAUGCCGCGUGCAGGAAGAAGGCCUUCGGGUUGUAAACUGCUUUUGUACGGAGCGAAAAGGUCCUUUCUAAUACAAGGGGCUCAUGACGGUACCGUAAGAAUAAGCACCGGCUAACUACGUGCCAGCCGCCGCAGUAA